AUAACAAUACAGGACUCUUUAGAGGCCCUGUAAUUGUAAUGAGUCCACUUGAAAUCCUUUAAUCCUGAUCAAUAUGAGGGCAAGUCUGGUGCAGAGCGACUGACCCAUGCGUGCUGCAGCUGAAACUGCUCGCACAGUCUCUCCAGCAUGUG
Non-coding RNA from Pelobates cultripes (western spadefoot toad), 152 nucleotides. The record is from the annotation of a GenBank genome assembly. NCBI's taxonomy places the organism in Eukaryota, Metazoa, Chordata, Amphibia, Anura, Pelobatidae.